RNAcentral lists this ribosomal RNA (756 nucleotides) under uncultured Diversispora. RNAcentral's name for it is "eukaryotic LSU rRNA". It matches the Rfam family "Eukaryotic large subunit ribosomal RNA", at positions 38 to 648 of the family's 3401-position model. The record is from RNAcentral. Lineage: Eukaryota; Fungi; Glomeromycota; Glomeromycetes; Diversisporales; Diversisporaceae.
GCAUAUCAAUAAGCGGAGGAAAAGAAACUAACAAGGAUUCCCCUAGUAACGGCGAGUGAAGAGGGAAAAGCUCAAAUUUUAAAUCUACCUGGUUCCCAGGUCGAAUUGUAAUUUGAAGAAGCGAUAUCGGUUUUGAGGUCUGGUUUAAGUUCUUUGGAACAAGACAUCAUGGAGGGUGAGAAUCCCGUGCAUGAUCAGACCAAGAUACCCAAUAUUCGUUUUCUAAGAGUCGAGUUGUUUGGGAAUGCAGCUCAAAAUGGGUGGUAGACUUCACCUAAGGCUAAAUAUCAGCGAGAGACCGAUAGCGAACAAGUACUGUGAAGGAAAGAUGAAAAGAACUUUGAAAAGAGAGUUAAAUAGUACGUGAAAUUGUUGAAAGGGAAACGAUUGAAGUCAGUCAUGCUAGUGAAAAAUCAGUUUGGCGGGUUUUGAGUUCUUGAGUAGAGGCAGGGUCAAACCGUUUCUCUUUUGGACUUGAGAUUUGUUAGAUGUACUUUUUCUUUGGCAGGUCAACGUCGGUUUCGGGGGUUGUAAAAUAUUUGGGGGAAAGUAGCUCUGCUUCGGGAGAGUGUUAUAGACCCUGAGAGAUGCAGCCUGUGGGAUCGAGGAUUGCAGCAAAUGCCUUUUGGCUUGUCGCCUGUUCCUAGGUGUUACCUGUCUUGUGACAACAUUCUUGCCACCGGGGAGUACUAAUGCCUACUGUUUAGAGCGAUCGAAAAUUUUGCUAAGGAUGUUGACGUAAUGGCUUUAAACGAC